AUUGAACGCUGGCGGCAUGCUUUACACAUGCAAGUCGAACGGUAACAGGCCUUCGGGUGCUGACGAGUGGCGAACGGGUGAGUAAUGCAUCGGAACGUGCCCAGAGGUGGGGGAUAACGCAGCGAAAGCUGUGCUAAUACCGCAUGUGAUCUGAGGAUGAAAGCGGGGGACCAAGCAGCAAUGUUUGGCCUCGCGCCUCUGGAGCGGCCGAUGUCAGAUUAGGUAGUUGGUGGGGUAAAGGCCUACCAAGCCGACGAUCUGUAGCUGGUCUGAGAGGAUGACCAGCCACACUGGGACUGAGACACGGCCCAGACUCCUACGGGAGGCAGCAGCGGGGAAUUUUGGACAAUGGGCGCAAGCCUGAUCCAGCAAUGCCGCGUGCGGGAAGAAGGCCUUCGGGUUGUAAACCGCUUUUGUACGGAACGAAAAGGCUCUGGCUAAUACCUGGGGCUGAUGACGGUACCGUAAGAAUAAGCACCGGCUAACUACGUG
This 492-nucleotide ribosomal RNA is filed under the name uncultured bacterium. RNAcentral's name for it is "partial 16S ribosomal RNA". It matches the Rfam family "Bacterial small subunit ribosomal RNA", at positions 30 to 507 of the family's 1533-position model. The record is from RNAcentral.